This 4872-nucleotide long non-coding RNA is filed under the name Manihot esculenta (cassava). Its description in RNAcentral is "long non-coding RNA (MESC_LNC010513)". Lineage: Eukaryota; Viridiplantae; Streptophyta; Magnoliopsida; Malpighiales; Euphorbiaceae. The record is from RNAcentral.
CAGCAACCAUCUCCAGUAUUCCUCCUGGCUCACCCCAGACAAGCAGCUCCUUAUCUUCUUUGAUGAGAUACAACCAUAUGGGAGCCCUGAGGUAGCGUAGGUGGUUAGCAACCGAACACAAGAUUCGAGGAGCUGAAGCCCCAUUGAGUAGUUUCGCCGCUUGCAUUGCAAUUCUCGCAUUUAGAGCGGAUAAGAGGUUCUUUUCAGCAUAAGAGCACGGUAGUCACGCCUCCCAUCUCAUUCUCUGGUCAUGUAUUCGUCCUCUCAGUUCCAGUUCUCACCCAUGGAUGCUUCUGCUCGCGCUUAGCUUCUUUUGACUCUUCUCACACCAUCGGAACUGAAAAAGGUAGAUCGGAACCGAAAGCUACAGAUUCUGAAAGUGGUACACCUACCCCAUGAAGCAGAACCUCCUCUCCGCCUCUUGCAACGCGUCGGACCACCAGGGAACCUCAGUGACACCGUCGACCAUUUCAGAGCUGCUAUGUGGCCAAUCUAUUCAACAAGCGAGGAAUUCAUAGCCAAGGCUCCCAUUCUUGAGCCGAAGACACAAAAUCGCACUUGCUCCUCACCUAAGAUUUGCAUUGUUUGUAACCUCCCCCUCUGUUCCAGAUUUUUCACAGGUAUACGUAUAAAUUUUGGUUUAUUGGGUUUGAUCCUUGAUGAAAUUUCUAUUCCUCUAGGUUGCUUAGAUGUAUAUAAUCUUGCAUUAGAUACUUCUAUUGAUUGAUUCAGUUGAGAUCUGAGAUCCUUGUGUUUGGAUGUUACAUAGUUUGAACCCAUUCUUGACCUCCUCAAGACCUUUAAGCUUGUAUAUAAAUUGGAAGUUGGCACACUCUCAAGCUCCACUAUUGCAAGCUUUAUUAUCCUUCUUUCAAGUUUCAUCCCUUUAGAAUCUCACCGGAAUUACUUAGCAUUUAGUCAAUCUGCAUUUUAUAUGUAUUUUUAGCUGAUUACUAAUAUCCCAAAUUGGCUUCUUGAAUGGUUAUGGGCAUGCUUCAAAGUUGCUUACUACUCAUUUGAUCACUGAACCAAUUUUAUCAUUACAACUUGGUUUUUGAAAAUUGCAUUUGAUUUAGCUAAUAUUCAGUUGAAAGUUUGUAUGAUCUAAAAUUUAUUAGAAUUUAUUUGUAUAUCAUUACUAUCCCCUAGGAAUGGUGAAUGGAGCUUAAACUAAUUUUCAAACACUCAUUUUUUUUAAAUUAUUUUUUAUAACUCUAGUUGCACAAAUAAAUUUAGUGAAUUCAACUUUCUGCUUAGAAAUAGAGUUCUUUAACAUUGUGUAAUUCAAUCAACCAAAUGUGAAAUUUUGCACUUAUUCAUGUUGUUGAGGAAACAGUUGAUAUGGUAAUAACUAGUGACUUUGAUAAGUUUGAAAUUUUGAAUGAUGUUCAAUUAUGUAAAUAAACUGUGUAAGUAUACGAUAAAGAUUAUUCUGAAAUAAAACAGCGUUGAAUUUAUUCUAAAUAAAAGAAUGCCUACAUAUCGUUAGAAUUGAAAUGGACUUAGACAUCAAAACAUUAUAUCAUUCGAUGAUAGUUUCUUUAAAUUUUCUUUGAGUUGAUGAGAGGUUGGUUAAACAACUAUAUAAACUUAUAAGCUUCUUGAGCUACUAGGACUUAGCCAUUUCAAAUUUGUUGGUGUUUGAUCCGUAGCAUUUGUUGUUUUUGAAAAUUUACUAGUGUUUGAUUUGUAAUAUUUGAACAGCUAAUUGGGAGGGAGUUGCCUCAGGUGGUUUUGUUGGUAAGGAAUGCUAGAAAUCAAUUGUUUUAUUUUUUGAAAUUGAUUAUUUCAAGCAUCCCAUAUUUAACUCAGGCUUUUCUUAAUUUCCAAGUCCUCAGUGCUAUGUCAGCGAACCUAAGGAAUCCAACUCCAAUAUAUUGGAGUGUUCAAACUUCUAAUGUAACCUUCAGUACAGCUACUAACUGAACAACAAUGAUUAUUUUAAAUUGUUAUUUGAGUUGGGUAACACUUUUGGAGUAGGUAAAGGUUAGAUAUGAUUAACUGGGCAAACAAUAUAGAUACACACAUAUACAUUUGGGCAUAAAUGAAUUUUGCUGUUAUAUCACUAUUGAUUUCAAUAUCCUAUCUUUAAUAGAUCGCAUGUAUCAAGUGGUCCUCAAGCUUUUAUAGUAUUGAAGUUAUUGAUUUUCAUGCUUAGCUGUGACUUGAAUUCCAUUCCUACAUAAGGAAUGAUAUCACUUUUAUUGCAUGCUUAUGGAUUAUAUAUAUAUAUAUAUACACACACACUUCUAUACUUGUUGAGAUCUGAGAUGGUUUUUAGGAUUAUCACUUUUAUUUAUCAAUGAACUUUUAUUUAUUUCCUCCAUGUUUGAGUAGGUUAAUUUUGUCUUAACCCAUCUCAAGCUAUUUCUUUGAGAAAAUUGUCUAGGUCUUAAGGCCAUAUUGUAAAUAUAUAAAGGGAAAAUUGCUUUUUAGUUCCUGAAAUAUAGUGUAAUUAAUGAAUUCAUCCAUCUAUUUUUAAAACCCAACACUUUCAUCUCUGAGGUUUAAUUAGAAGUACCUCUAAUUUUCCCUUUUAUUGCAUGCUUAUGGAUUAUAUACACACACACACUUCUAUACUUGUUGUUGAGACCUGAGAUGGUUUUUAGGAUUAUCACUUUUAUUUAUCAAUGAACUUUUAUUUAUUUCCUCCAUGUUUGAGUAGGGUAAUUUUGUCUUAACCCAUCUCAAGCUAUUUCUUUGAGAAAAUUGUUAGGUCUUAGGGCCAUAUUGUAAAUAUAUAUAGGGAAAAUUACUUUUUAGUUUUUGAAGUAUAGCGUAAUUAAUGAAUUCGUCCCUCUAUUUUUAAAACCCAACACUUAUGUCCCUGAGGUUUAAUUAGAGGUACCUCUAAUUUUGACGGAAUUAAAAAUAGAGGGACGAAUGGAAUUCAAGUCACUGCUAAGCAUGAAAAUCAAUAAAUUCAAUACUAUAAAAGCUUGAGGACCACUUGAUGCAUGCGAUCUAUUAAAGAUAGGAUAUUGAAGUCAAUAGUGAUAUAAUAGCAAAAUCCAUUUAUGCCCAAAUGUAUAUGUGUGUAUCUAUAUUGUUUGCCCAAUUAACUAUAUCUAACCUUUACCUACUCUAAAAUUGUUACCCAACUCAAAUAGCAAUUUAAAAUAAUCAUUGUUGUUCGGUUAGUAGCUGUACUGAAGGUUACAUUAGAAGUUUGAACACUUCAAUAUAUUGCAAUUGGAUUCCUUAGGUUCGUUAACAUAGCAUUAGGACUUGGAAAUUAAGAAAAGCCUGAGUUAAAUAUGGGGAUGCUUGAAAUAAUCAAUUUCAAAAAUAAAACAAUUGAUUUUUAGCAUUCCUUACCAACAAAAUCAUCUGAGUCAACUCCCAAUUAGCUGUUCAAAUAUUACAAAUCAAACACUAGUAAAUUUUCAAAAACAACGAAUGCUACAGAUCAAACACCAACAAAUUUGAAAUGACAAGUCCUAGUAGCUUAAAAAGCUUAUAAGUUUAUAUAGUUGUUUAACCAACCUCUCAUCAACUCAAAGAAAAUUUAAAGAAGCUAUCAUCGAAUGAUAUAAUGUUUUGAUGUCUAAGUCCAUUUCAAUUCUAACAAUAUGUAGGCAUUCUUUCAUUUAGAAGAAAUUCAACCUUGUUUUAUUUCAGAAUAAUCUUUAUCAUAUACUUACACAGUUUAUUUACAUAAUUGAACAUCACUCAGAAUUUCAAACUUAUCAAGUUACUAGUUAUUACUAUAUCAACGGUUUCCUCAACAAUAGGAAUAAGUGCAAAAUUUCAUAUUUGGUUGUUUGAAUUACACAAUGUUAAAGAACCCUAUUCCUAAGCAGAAAGUUGAAUUCACCAAAUUUAUUUGUGCAACUAGAGUUAUAUAAAAAAAAAUGAGUGUUUAGGGGAUAGUAAUGGUAUACAAGUAAAUUCUAAUAAAUAAGAGAGUAGCACCUACUCCAUAGAAUUAGAUCAUACAAACUUUCAACUGAAUCUCAGCUAAAUCAAAUGCAAUUUUCAAAAAUCAAGUUGUAACAGUUUUAAUAAUAAUUAUAAGUAAUCAAAUGAGUAAUAAGCAACUUUGACGCAAGCCCAUAACCAUUCAAGAAGCCAAUUUGGCAUAUAUACAGUUCUUAGUAAACAGCUAAAAACACAUAAAAUGCAGAUUAACAAAAUACUAAGUAAUUUAGGUGAGAUUCUAAAGGGAUGAAUCUUGAAAGAAGGAUAAUAAAGCUUGCGAUCGUGGAGCUGCUUGAGAGUGUCGCCAACUUCCCAUUUGUAUACAAGCUUAGAGGUCUUGAGGAGGUCAUAAGAAUUGGUUCAAACUAUGUAACAUCCAAACACAAGCAUCUCAACUGAAUUAAUCAGUAGAAGUAUCUAAUGCAUGAUUAUAUACAUCUAAGCAACCUAGAGGAAUAGAAAUUUCAUCAAGGAUCAAACCCUACCCGAAUCCGAAAUGAGUAAAAUUUUUUAAAUCUGAGUUCGUCUAAAUUCGUUUUGUAAAAACCUAAAUCUGUUCUAAUAGAAUUUGGACGGAUCGAAUACUCGUGAAAAUCCGCCCGCUUGCCAUCUCUAACAAACUGGAAUCAUAUUUAAACAGACCAAUACGAACUAAAAUUAACAAAACAGUCCUAAUCAAACCAGCAAUUGUCAAACAGACAAAAGAAUAAAACCAGCAAUAGCCAAACUGACAAAAGAAUAAAACAAGAGCCAAACAGGCAAAAAGAGAAAAUAAUAACCAAACGGAUAAUAACAAAACCGCCACAGCACCGCACCGUAGGAGUAUGGACACUCGCCAUAGUCACCGACAGAACCAGAUCAAGCAUGUGAGAGCAACUAUAAUGGUACAGUAGAAGAAAAUAAUAAAAAUCAAAACACUACAAAUAACAUGCAAGAAAACAGCGGCAAGAG